Molecule: long non-coding RNA, 873 nt
Organism: Pogoniulus pusillus (Red-fronted tinkerbird)
Lineage: Eukaryota; Metazoa; Chordata; Aves; Piciformes; Lybiidae
Exons: 2
Source: RefSeq, a predicted model, not a curated record
AUGCCACCUGUGGAAAAGCUAAACCUGAGCAAGCUGGAUAUGUCAGAAGAGUGGCCUAAUGAAGAGGAAAAGCUGAGGUUUCAGAAGCUGAAAGAAGCAAUUAUAAAAGCUGAAAGAGAAGAAUCUCUUGCUGAGGAGCAUGUAGGUGCAGCCCAUGGUGUUCCUGAAGCAGAGAAGAUGCUCAGCAGGAAGAGCCAGCUCGGCGCUGCAGGUGCCUGCACUUCAGGCAGCGCUGGGAGACACUGAUAGGGAGAACCACUCUAGAAUUUCUGCUGUGGAAGGUUUUUCUUCUUUCAAAGGAAAACAACAAACCAGAAGGAUCAUUUUCAGGUACUGAAACGGUACUUAAAACGAACUGAGUGAAACAAGAGCUUUAAAAGGGCUCCAUCAACAGUCGUGAAGGUGUUGGACAGGAGGUGGCACCACAGGACCACAGACAAAGCCAGGCUGUUCCACCCCUGCCAUCCCACCGUUCAUAUGAAUACCACAUCAACACUGGUUAAUGAGAGCUUUUGUACUCCAAAUCUUCAACUCUUACUGUCAUUUAGUGCCUUUCUUUGUCCUCUGACCACCUUGAAGGAAGCAGAUUUCCUGUUCCUUGAGUGCUGCAGAGAAUAUUCCUUUAUUUAACCCUAAAGGGUUUUCGUUUUCAAACUGUUCUUGUUGAAAUCUGGUUGCAGAUGUUUCUGCUCACUGCAGGCUUGAAGGAACUCUCGUGUUUGAAGUCUCUCCCAACCCAAAUCAUUCAGGGAUUCUGUGACUGGGGGAGAAAAAGCCACAACACAACUGAUAAAAUGUAAGAAUGUACUUCACAAGUAAUAAACCUGAAAAUUACUCAAUAAAACUGAGAUUGUUUUUACUUGUAGAAGGUGA